RNAcentral lists this ribosomal RNA (491 nucleotides) under Trimerodytes balteatus (Hainan mountain keelback). RNAcentral describes it as "Opisthotropis balteata (Hainan mountain keelback) partial 12S ribosomal RNA". Lineage: Eukaryota; Metazoa; Chordata; Lepidosauria; Squamata; Natricidae. The record is from RNAcentral.
GCCUAACCUAACACACAAUAAAUUACCAAUUGUUCGCCAAACAACUACGAGUAAAAACUUAAAACUUAAAAGACUUGACGGUACUUCACAUCACCCUAGAGGAGCCUGUCUAAUAACCGAUACCCCACGAUUAACCCAACCCCCCCUAGCCAACCAGUCUAUAUACCGCCAUCGCCAGCUUACCUUGUAAAAGAGACAAAGUAAACGCAACAGCCACCGCUAACACGAUAGGUCGAGGUGUAACAAAUGAGGGGGUAAAAGAUGGGCUACAUUUUCUAACACAGAAAACACGAAUAAACUAUGAAAACAGAAACAGAAGGCGGAUUUAGCAGUACGCUAAGAACAAAAUACUUAACCGAAACAAACGCAAUGAAGUGUGUACACACCGCCCGUCAUCCCUGAAAAACAACAAACAUAUUUAUAAAAACACAAAAUACCUUAAACAGGGCAAGUCGUAACAUGGUAAGCGUACUGGAAAGUGCGCUUAGAAA